Chiroxiphia lanceolata (lance-tailed manakin) is the source of this 180-nucleotide long non-coding RNA. RefSeq lists it as uncharacterized. The transcript has 3 exons. Lineage: Eukaryota; Metazoa; Chordata; Aves; Passeriformes; Pipridae. The record is from RefSeq and is a predicted model, not a curated record.
ACUUCCAGGAUGGGGGCACCCACAACUUCUCUGAGCAACCUGUUCCAGUGUCUCACCACCCUCACAUUAAAGAAUUUCUUUCCAAUACCCAAUCUAAAGCUACUCUCUGUCAGUUGAACCAUUCUCCCCUGUCCUGUCACUCCAGGCCUUUGCAAAUAUAACAAAACAAGUGCCUGUUGU